This 253-nucleotide ribosomal RNA is filed under the name uncultured bacterium. Its description in RNAcentral is "partial 16S ribosomal RNA". It matches the Rfam family "Bacterial small subunit ribosomal RNA", at positions 524 to 776 of the family's 1533-position model. The record is from RNAcentral.
UACAGAGGGGGCAAGCGUUGUUCGGAAUUACUGGGCGUAAAGGGCGCGUAGGCGGCCUGUUAAGUCGAACGUGAAAUCCCCGGGCUCAACCCGGGAACUGCGUCCGAUACUGGCAGGCUCGAAUCCGGGAGAGGGAUGCGGAAUUCCAGGUGUAGCGGUGAAAUGCGUAGAUAUCUGGAGGAACACCGGUGGCGAAGGCGGCAUCCUGGACCGGAAUUGACGCUGAGGCGCGAAAGCCAGGGGAGCAAACGGG